Molecule: ribosomal RNA, 556 nt
Filed under: Malassezia sympodialis
Lineage: Eukaryota; Fungi; Basidiomycota; Malasseziomycetes; Malasseziales; Malasseziaceae
Description: eukaryotic LSU rRNA
Rfam family: 5.8S ribosomal RNA (bases 1-123)
Source: RNAcentral
AUCGAUGAAGAACGCAGCGAAACGCGAUAGGUAAUGUGAAUUGCAGAAUUCCGUGAAUCAUCGAAUCUUUGAACGCACCUUGCGCUCCAUGGUAUUCCGUGGAGCAUGCCUGUUUGAGUGCCGUGAAUUCUCUCUCCCCAAGCGGUUGCGAUUGCACUGCUUUGGCGGAAGAUGGGAUGGGUGCGUUUCCGCGUGUUUCAAAAAACACAUGCUCCCCCAAAACGUUAUAGCCUCUUGGACACACUCUCCAAACCCCUCUCAGAGAGGGAGCGGCAGAGAGGAGGGAGGAAAUCUGCCCGUCAGCUAUAUCAAAAUCUUUGCCAGGCGGAAGCACGUCAUGUGAUGUCACUUUUGGUGUGUGCGUCUCCUGACGCAGGGGGGAUAUGGGGCGUCUUUCUCUCUCUGCGGGUGUUGGUGCGCUAUACCUAUCCUGCGUGGAGGCUGGUCUGUGCACGCACGUGGCGCAGUUCUUGUGAACGCAUUCCCUUUUUUCAUUUCUGGUCUCAAAUCAGGUAGGAUCACCCGCUGAACUUAAGCAUAUCAAUAAGCGGAGGAA